RNAcentral lists this ribosomal RNA (93 nucleotides) under Candidatus Phascolarctobacterium stercoravium. Its description in RNAcentral is "partial 23S ribosomal RNA". It matches the Rfam family "Bacterial large subunit ribosomal RNA", at positions 2832 to 2925 of the family's 2925-position model. Lineage: Bacteria; Bacillati; Bacillota; Negativicutes; Acidaminococcales; Acidaminococcaceae. The record is from RNAcentral.
GACACCUUAAAGAAGAUGAGGUAGAUAGGCCGGGAGUGUAAGUGCAGCAAUGUAUUGAGCUGACCGGUACUAAUAUGUCGAGGGCUUGACUUC